AAGAUUUUAAGUUAAUAAAUAAACUAUUAACCUUCAAAGUUAAAAAUAAAUAAAUUUUUAAAUCUUA
This 67-nucleotide transfer RNA is filed under the name Ammothea calmani. RNAcentral describes it as "tRNA-Trp". Lineage: Eukaryota; Metazoa; Arthropoda; Pycnogonida; Pantopoda; Ammotheidae. The record is from RNAcentral.